GAGCCAGCACAGGCGGAGGGGAGCGAUUAAGGACCACAACAGGCGUUGGUGAUGUCCUCUUUUGGGUCACUUGCAUAUCCAGACGUGCUUUUGCUAUCGUGGAAAUCUCCAAUGCAAGAAGCCAUCAGCAUGGCAGGGAGAAGUUCAGUUCGUGCCUGUGAAACAGUCUGCUUGGGAGAAAGGCCGGGCACCUGCCGCUUCCUGACUGCCUGCAUUGUGGAGGCUGGCAUCAAAACAACAUUGUUUAUUAAGAAAAAAAAAAAAAAGAAAAGAAAAAAUUACCACAUCCUGUUUCCAGAGAUGAACCCAAUUGCCUCCUAGUGUGUUUGAAGUUUUUUCCUGAGUCAUCUG
This 351-nucleotide long non-coding RNA is filed under the name Anas platyrhynchos platyrhynchos (common mallard). Its description in RNAcentral is "lncRNA (ENSAPLG00000017043.1)". Lineage: Eukaryota; Metazoa; Chordata; Aves; Anseriformes; Anatidae. The record is from RNAcentral.